CCUAGAGUUGUAGGCUUUGCCUGCUAUCUCUACCCAUGUCUUUUGAGUACCUUCGUUUCCUCGGCGGGUCCGCCCGCCGAUUGGACAAUUUAAACCAUUUGCAGUUGCAAUCAGCGUCUGAAAAAACUUAAUAGUUA
RNAcentral lists this unclassified non-coding RNA (137 nucleotides) under soil metagenome. RNAcentral's name for it is "partial internal transcribed spacer 1". The record is from RNAcentral.